RNAcentral lists this ribosomal RNA (497 nucleotides) under uncultured bacterium. Its description in RNAcentral is "partial 16S ribosomal RNA". It matches the Rfam family "Bacterial small subunit ribosomal RNA", at positions 28 to 507 of the family's 1533-position model. The record is from RNAcentral.
GAUGAACGCUGGCGGCGUGCCUAAUACAUGCAAGUCGAGCGAACAGACGAGGAGCUUGCUCCUCUGACGUUAGCGGCGGACGGGUGAGUAACACGUGGAUAACCUACCUAUAAGACUGGGAUAACUUCGGGAAACCGGAGCUAAUACCGGAUAAUAUAUUGAACCGCAUGGUUCAAUAGUGAAAGACGGUUUUGCUGUCACUUAUAGAUGGAUCCGCGCCGCAUUAGCUAGUUGGUAAGGUAGCGGCUUACCAAGGCAACGAUGCGUAGCCGACCUGAGAGGGUGAUCGGCCACGCUGGAACUGAGACACGGUCCAGACUCCUACGGGAGGCAGCAGUAGGGAAUCUUCCGCAAUGGGCGAAAGCCUGACGGAGCAACGCCGCGUGAGUGAUGAAGGUCUUCGGAUCGUAAAACUCUGUUAUUAGGGAAGAACAAAUGUGUAAGUAACUAUGCACGUCUUGACGGUACCUAAUCAGAAAGCCACGGCUAACUACGUG